CCUACGGGGGGCAGCAGUAGGGAAUAUUGCUCAAUGGGGGAAACCCUGAAGCAGCAACGCCGCGUGGGUGAUGAAGGUCUUCGGAUUGUAAACUCCUUUUGUUAGAGAAGAUAAUGUCUGUUUCUAAAUAAUAAUCACCGUCUAACUCCUUGCCAGCAGCCGCGGUAAAACGGAGGGUGCAAACGUUACUCAGAAUAAAUGGGCCGAAAGUGAGCGUAGGCGGGAAAGCAAAUCAGAUGUGAAAACUCAUGGCUUAACCAUAGAACUGCAUUUGAAACUGUUAUUCGAGAGUGUGGGAGAGGUAGGUGGAAUUCUUGGUGUAGGGGUAAAAUGCGUAGAGAUAAAGAGGAAGACUCAUUGCGAAGGCG
RNAcentral lists this ribosomal RNA (368 nucleotides) under uncultured bacterium. RNAcentral's name for it is "partial 16S ribosomal RNA". It matches the Rfam family "Bacterial small subunit ribosomal RNA", at positions 338 to 723 of the family's 1533-position model. The record is from RNAcentral.